CUGCCUCAGCCUCCUGAGUAGCUGGGAUUACAGGUGUGCACCACGCCUGGCCAAUUUUGUAUUUUCAGUAGAUACACCCACCCCCAGGCUCUGGGGACCAAGCCCUGCUCAAAUUGGGGGUGGUGCUGCCAGGGGCAGGGGCAGAGAGGGUGGGAGCCUCCCUUCCAAGUAUUUUAGGGUUUCUCCAUGUUGGUCAGGCUGGUCUCGAACUCCUGACCUCAGGUGAUCCACCCACCUCAGCCUCCCAAAGUGCUGGGAUUACAGGCAUGAGCCACCACGCCUGGCCCCUUGUUUUCCAACCUCCUGCCUAUUCUUCUCCUCCGUGAAGCCCUCCUGAUUUGAAACCCUUGGCUCCCCUUUUCUUGGUUUCUUCCUGCACUCAACAAGCCCCUCCAGCAAUUCCUAAAUCAGGUCCUGGUGUGACUCUCUUCUCUCUCAUCGGACUAGGGGAACAGGCCUGCGUCUCCUCCCUCUGAACUGCCAACUACUAACCCCCACCAUACCCAUUGUCUCCACACCACCUCCCACGCCCCCUGAAGACUCAGACCCAAAACAGAUCUGUAAAGCAUGUGCGUGUGACCAUGGGAACCCGGGAGUCCUGUCUCCUCUUCAUCCACAGAAAUUUCCACAGAAGCCCCACGGAUUCCCAUUUCAGAUGACAAGCUGAGGCCUACGAUGAUUUAGGCUGAGGAUACCAUCUGCCUGAGAGAACCCUCCUCUUGGAGUCUUGCUCCUCAAAAUGUGACUUCAGAGCCAGCAGCAUUGGCAUCCCUGGAAGCGUGGUACCAAUGCAUUCUUGGACCUCAACUCAGACCUAUUCAAUCCAACUCUCCAGUUUAGCAAGAUCCCCAGGUGAUUUUUAUGUACAUUAAAGUUUGAAAGCAAUACUCUAAAGAACCAGAAAUGCCAGACCAGGGUCCAACAGGGAAACUGAAUGCCUAAGACAUUCAUUCAUUCAUUUACCCAUUCAAUAAAUACUUAAUAAGCA
This 988-nucleotide long non-coding RNA is filed under the name Homo sapiens (human). RNAcentral's name for it is "HSALNT0368448". Lineage: Eukaryota; Metazoa; Chordata; Mammalia; Primates; Hominidae. The record is from RNAcentral.